Non-coding RNA from Podarcis lilfordi (Lilford's wall lizard), 73 nucleotides. The record is from the annotation of a GenBank genome assembly. Lineage: Eukaryota; Metazoa; Chordata; Lepidosauria; Squamata; Lacertidae.
GGAUAGCUCAGUUGGUAGAGCAUGUGGUUCUUAAUCUCAGGGUCAUGGGUUGAAGCCCCACAAAGGAAAAACA